GUAGUCGUGGCCGAGUGGUUAAGGCGAUGGACUUGAAAUCCAUUGGGGUCUCUCCGCGCAGGUUCGAAUCCUGCCGACUACG
RNAcentral lists this transfer RNA (82 nucleotides) under Danio rerio (zebrafish). RNAcentral's name for it is "tRNA-Ser (TGA) (tRNA-Ser-TGA-16-1)". It matches the Rfam family "tRNA". Rfam says of the family: Transfer RNA (tRNA) molecules are approximately 80 nucleotides in length. Their secondary structure includes four short double-helical elements and three loops (D, anti-codon, and T loops). Lineage: Eukaryota; Metazoa; Chordata; Actinopteri; Cypriniformes; Danionidae. The record is from Rfam by way of RNAcentral.